AGUGGCGGACGGGUGAGUAACACGUGAGAAUUUGCCUUUAGGAGGGGGACAACAGCUGGAAACGGCUGCUAAUACCCCAUAUGCUUUCGAGUGAAAUGGAUUUCCGCCUGAAGAGAAGCUUGCGGCUGAUUAGCUUGUUGGUGAGGUAAUGGCUCACCAAGGCGACGAUCAGUAUCUGGUUUGAGAGGACGAUCAGACACACUGGAACUGAGACACGGUCCAGACUCCUACGGGAGGCAGCAGGGGGGAAUUUUCCGCAAUGGGCGAAAGCCUGACGGAGCAAUACCGCGUGAGGGAUGAGGGCCUAUGGGUUGUAAACCUCUUUUUUCAGGGAGGAACAAAAUGACGUGUACCUGAAGAAUAAGCAUCGGCUAACUCCGUGCCAGCAGCCGCGGUAAGACGGGGGAUGCAAGUGUUAUCCGGAAUCACUGGGCGUAAAGCGUCUGUAGGUGGUUAAGUAAGUCAACUUGUUAAAUCUUGAGGCUCAACCUCAAAAUCGCAGUCGAAACUGCUUGACUAGAGUAUAGUAGGGGUAAAGGGAAUUUCCAGUGGAGCGGUGAAAUGCGUAGAUAUUGGAAAGAACACCGAUGGCGAAGGCACUUUACUGGGCUAUUACUAACACUGAGAGACGAAAGCUAGGGUAGCAAAUGGGAUUAGAUACCCCAGUAGUCCUAGCUGUAAACAAUGGAUACUAGAUGUU
RNAcentral lists this ribosomal RNA (700 nucleotides) under uncultured bacterium. RNAcentral's name for it is "bacterial SSU rRNA". It matches the Rfam family "Bacterial small subunit ribosomal RNA", at positions 94 to 824 of the family's 1533-position model. The record is from RNAcentral.